UACGUAGGGUGCAAGCGUUGUCCGGAAUUAUUGGGCGUAAAGCGCGUGUAGGCGGCUUUGCAAGUCGGGUGUGAAAGCCCUCAGCUCAACUGAGGAAGUGCGCCCCGAAACUGCAGAGCUUGAGUGCCGGAGAGGGUGGCGGAAUUCCCCAAGUAGAGGUGAAAUUCGUAGAGAUGUGGAGGAACACCAGUGGCGAAGGCGGCUUUUUGGUCUGUAACUGACGCUGAGGCGCGAAAGCGUGGGGAGCAAACAGG
This 254-nucleotide ribosomal RNA is filed under the name uncultured bacterium. RNAcentral describes it as "partial 16S ribosomal RNA". It matches the Rfam family "Bacterial small subunit ribosomal RNA", at positions 524 to 776 of the family's 1533-position model. The record is from RNAcentral.